AUACGUAGGGUGCGAGCGUUGUCCGGAAUUACUGGGCGUAAAGAGCUCGUAGGUGGUUUGUCGCGUCGUCUGUGAAAUUCCGGGGCUUAACUCCGGGCGUGCAGGCGAUACGGGCAUAACUUGAGUACUGUAGGGGAGACUGGAAUUCCUGGUGUAGCGGUGAAAUGCGCAGAUAUCAGGGGGAACACCGGGGGCGAAGGCGGGUCUCUGGGCAGUAACUGACGCUGAGUGGCGAAAGCAUGGGUAGCGAACAGGAUUAGAUACCCUGGUAGUCCAUGCCGUAAACGGUGGGCGCUAGGUGUAGGGGUCUUCCACGACUUCUGUGCCGUAGCUAACGCAUUAAGCGCCCCGCCUGGGGAGUACGGCCGCAAGGCUAAAACUCAAAGGAAUUGACGGGG
This 398-nucleotide ribosomal RNA is filed under the name uncultured bacterium. RNAcentral describes it as "partial 16S ribosomal RNA". It matches the Rfam family "Bacterial small subunit ribosomal RNA", at positions 523 to 918 of the family's 1533-position model. The record is from RNAcentral.